This is a long non-coding RNA of Monodelphis domestica (gray short-tailed opossum), 540 nucleotides long. RefSeq lists it as uncharacterized. The record is from RefSeq and is a predicted model, not a curated record. NCBI's taxonomy places the organism in Eukaryota, Metazoa, Chordata, Mammalia, Didelphimorphia, Didelphidae.
UUGUAGCCUGAGGUUGAUUCAUUCUUUCUCUAGUUUUACCUGGAGGAGGACUGGCUUUUCCUUUGUUGACUGUGUUUUAUCUUCUCCAUCCUACCUGCUUCCCUGUUAUCUGACUGAAACAUCUACUGAGCUUUCUGUGUGAUCCUAAAGCUAUAGAUCAAGGAGGCCUGGCAUUAUGUGAUGGUGCUUCUCAUCUUCCCAAAGAAGGCAGGAAUAAUACUUAUUGUAAUAUCCUCCAUGAAAGAAAGAAAACCUAUUGCAAUGAAAUAUUGUGGUUCUCCUCUCACCCCAAAGACAUUCACCCAAGAAAGAAAGGCACCUCUGUAGGAGACCUGGCUGGAUGGUAUGGCAUUUCUCAUCUUUGAUACCAACCCAAGGGACUUGGCAUGAUGAAAGUGACAUUUAAGUUUAGUGUAUUCUCAUCUUAGCUAGGAAUCUUGCCCAGGUCACUCUGUAAAUCCUAGAGAGGGACCCACCUAAUAUGGUGGGACUUUUGUUUCAGUUCUCUUGACACUGAAUAAAUACAAGUAGAGCUCAAAA